Molecule: ribosomal RNA, 461 nt
Filed under: uncultured bacterium
Lineage: Bacteria
Description: partial 16S ribosomal RNA
Rfam family: Bacterial small subunit ribosomal RNA
Source: RNAcentral
CCUACGGUGAGCAGCAGUGAGGAAUAUUGGUCAAUGGGCGCGAGCCUGACCCAGCCAAGUAGCGUGAAGGAUGACUGCCCUACGUGCGUUAAACUUCUUUUGUGCGGGAACAAUAAUGGUCACGUGUGGCCAGACGAGAGUACCGUACUAAUAAGCAUCGGCUAACUCCGUGCCAGCAGCCGCGGUAAUACGGGGGAUGCAAGCGUUAUCCGGAUUUAUUGGGUUUAAAGGGUGCGUAGGCUGUGAGGUAAGUCAGCGGUGAAAUGCCCCCGCUAAACGGGGUGCAGUGCCAUUGAUACUGGCUGGCUGGAAUGCGGAUGCGGGGGGAGGAAUGGGUGGUGUAGCGGUGAAAUGCAUAGAUAUCACACAGAAAACCGAUUGCGAAGGCAUCUCACGAAUCCGCGAUUGACGCUGAGGCACGAAAGCGUGGGUAUCAAACAGGAUUAGAUACCCCGGUAGUC